Molecule: ribosomal RNA, 484 nt
Filed under: uncultured bacterium
Lineage: Bacteria
Description: partial 16S ribosomal RNA
Rfam family: Bacterial small subunit ribosomal RNA
Source: RNAcentral
AUUGAACGCUGGCGGCAGGCCUAACACAUGCAAGUCGAGCGGAUGAAGGGAGCUUGCUCCUGGAUUCAGCGGCGGACGGGUGAGUAAUGCCUAGGAAUCUGCCUGGUAGUGGGGGAUAACGUCCGGAAACGGGCGCUAAUACCGCAUACGUCCUGAGGGAGAAAGUGGGGGAUCUUCGGACCUCACGCUAUCAGAUGAGUCUAGGUCGGAUUAGCUAGUUGGUGGGGUAAAGGCCUACCAAGGCGACGAUCCGUAACUGGUCUGAGAGGAUGAUCAGUCACACUGGAACUGAGACACGGUCCAGACUCUUACGGGAGGCAGCAGUGGGGAAUAUUGGACAAUGGGCGAAAGCCUGAUCCAGCCAUGCCGCGUGUGUGAAGAAGGUCUUCGGAUUGUAAAGCACUUUAAGUUGGGAGGAAGGGCAGUAAGUUAAUACCUUGCUGUUUUGACGUUACCAACAGAAUAAGCACCGGCUAACUUCGUG